Molecule: ribosomal RNA, 496 nt
Filed under: uncultured bacterium
Lineage: Bacteria
Description: partial 16S ribosomal RNA
Rfam family: Bacterial small subunit ribosomal RNA
Source: RNAcentral
GAUGAACGCUGGCGGCGUGCCUAAUACAUGCAAGUCGAGCGAACAGAUGAGGAGCUUGCUCCUCUGACGUUAGCGGCGGACGGGUGAGUAACACGUGGAUAACCUACCUAUAAGACUGGGAUAACUUCGGGAAACCGGAGCUAAUACCGGAUAAUAUAUUGAACCGCAUGGUUCAAUAGUGAAAGACGGUUUUGCUGUCACUUAUAGAUGGAUCCGCGCCGCAUUAGCUAGUUGGUAAGGUAACGGCUUACCAAGGCAACGAUGCGUAGCCGACCUGAGAGGGGGCUCGGCCACACGGGAACUGAAACACGGUCCAGACUCCUACGGGAGGCAGCAGUAGGGACUCUUCCGCAAUGGGCGAAAGCCUGACGGAGCACCGCCGCGGGAGUGAUGAAGGUUUUCGGAUCUUAAAACUCUGUUAUUAGGGAAAAAAAAAUGUGUAAGUAACUAUGCCCGUCUUGACGGUACCUAAUCAAAAAGCCACGGCUAACUACGU